RNAcentral lists this ribosomal RNA (336 nucleotides) under uncultured Cercozoa. RNAcentral describes it as "bacterial SSU rRNA". The stretch from base 111 to 336 matches the Rfam family "Eukaryotic small subunit ribosomal RNA", at positions 731 to 955 of the family's 1831-position model. Lineage: Eukaryota; Cercozoa. The record is from RNAcentral.
GACUUGUGUGCGCCCGCAUUCUGCGGUCACUUCCCAAAAGGGUUGUCCGACAUGCGGUGCGGGCGCCGUCAAACCUUCAACUGGAUCGCGUCUGGGCUUCAUUGUCUGGGCGCUGUCAUUCGGUUGAUCAUUUACUGUGAGAAAAUUAGAGUGUUCAAGGCAGGCAUUAUUGCAAUUGAAUAUGUUAGCAUGGAAUAAUAAGAUAAGGCUUUCGGCUUAUUUUGUUGGUUUCUAGAUCGGAAGUAAUGAUUGAUAGGGAUAGUUGGGGGUGCUAGUAUUCAACGGCCAGAGGUGAAAUUCAUGGAUUCGUUGAAGACUAACUUAUGCGAAAGCAUU